Molecule: ribosomal RNA, 467 nt
Filed under: uncultured bacterium
Lineage: Bacteria
Description: bacterial SSU rRNA
Rfam family: Bacterial small subunit ribosomal RNA
Source: RNAcentral
CCAGACUCCUACGGGAGGCAGCAGUGAGGAAUAUUGGUCAAUGGCCGAAGGGCUGAACCAGCCAAGCCGCGUGAAGGAAUAAGGCCCUACGGGUCGUAAACUUCUUUAGUCAGGGAACAAAGGGAGCCACGCGUGGCGCUGUGAGUGUACCUGAAGAAUAAGCCCCGGCUAACUACGUGCCAGCAGCCGCGGUAAUACGUAGGGAGCAAGCGUUAUCCGGAUUUAUUGGGUGUAAAGGGUGCGUAGACGGGAAGGCAAGUUAGUUGUGAAAUCCCUCGGCUUAACUGAGGAACUGCAACUAAAACUAUCUUUCUUGAGUGCUGGAGAGGAAAGUGGAAUUCCUAGUGUAGCGGUGAAAUGCGUAGAUAUUAGGAGGAACACCAGUGGCGAAGGCGACUUUCUGGACAGUAACUGACGUUGAGGCACGAAAGUGUGGGGAGCAAACAGGAUUAGAUACCCCUGUAUAC